Molecule: non-coding RNA, 24 nt
Filed under: Arabidopsis thaliana (thale cress)
Lineage: Eukaryota; Viridiplantae; Streptophyta; Magnoliopsida; Brassicales; Brassicaceae
Source: RNAcentral
AUUUGCUAGUUAUAUUUAUAAAAA